This 513-nucleotide ribosomal RNA is filed under the name Porphyromonas gingivalis. Its description in RNAcentral is "bacterial SSU rRNA". It matches the Rfam family "Bacterial small subunit ribosomal RNA", at positions 895 to 1411 of the family's 1533-position model. Lineage: Bacteria; Pseudomonadati; Bacteroidota; Bacteroidia; Bacteroidales; Porphyromonadaceae. The record is from RNAcentral.
AGAUUCUCAAAGAAAUUGGCGGGGGCGCACAAGCGGAGGAACAUGUGGUUUAAUUCGAUGAUACGCGAGGAACCUUACCCGGGCUUGAAAUGCGUCUGACAGUCGGAGAGAUCCGAUCUCCCUUCGGGGCAGACGUGUAGGUGCUGCAUGGUUGUCGUCAGCUCGUGCCGUGAGGUGUCGGCUUAGGUGCCAUAACGAGCGCAACCCUCAUCGUUAGUUGCCAUCAAGUAGUGCUGGGGACUCUAACGAGACUGCCAUCGUAAGAUGCGAGGAAGGUGGGGAUGACGUCAAAUCAGCACGGCCCUUACGUCCGGGGCGACACACGUGUUACAAUGGGUGGUACAAAGGGCAGCUACAUGGCGACAUGAUGCCAAUCCCCAAAACCACUCUCAGUUCGGAUCGGAGUCUGCAACUCGACUCCGUGAAGCUGGAUUCGCUAGUAAUCGCGCAUCAGCCACGGCGUGGUGAAUACGCUCCCGCCCUUGCACACACCGCCCGAAUCUGUCCCCGCUC